This 275-nucleotide ribosomal RNA is filed under the name uncultured prokaryote. RNAcentral describes it as "partial 16S ribosomal RNA". It matches the Rfam family "Bacterial small subunit ribosomal RNA", at positions 524 to 798 of the family's 1533-position model. The record is from RNAcentral.
UACGUAUGGGGCGAAGCGUUAUCCGGAAUUAUUGGGCGUAAAGAGUGCGUAGGUGGUUACCUAAGCGCAAGGUUUAAUCUUGAGGCUCAACCUCAUUCUGCCUUGCGAACUGGGCUACUUGAGUGCUGGAGGGGAAAGCGGAAUUCCCAGUGUAGCGGUGAAAUGCGUAGAUAUUGGGAAGAACACCGGUGGCGAAGGCGGCUUUCUGGACAGUAACUGACACUGAGGCACGAAAGCGUGGGGAGCAAACAGGAUUAGAUACCCCUGUAGUCCCU